CCGAAUGACAUAAACAAGAGAUCAGUCCAUCUGGAUGACGACAGAAAGCCCAAUGAGUUCUCAGUACGAGUCUGCACACGGAACGACACAGCAGUUCCACAUGGGAAUUCAUAAGGCAUGAAAUCACGGGAAAUUUUUAAUACCUAGCCUGAUACAUCAUGAGAAAGUUCGACAAUCUAUUUAAGAAGACAAAGGGACGGAGUGAGCAGACGGCAACACUCUCAGUGGGAUAAUACAUCCAGGAGUUGAGCAGCCCCAUUAGUGACCUACUCUGCAAGACCCUGGUAGAGGCCUUGCAACGAGCUGAUCA
Long non-coding RNA from Cryptotermes secundus, 310 nucleotides. RefSeq lists it as uncharacterized. The transcript has 3 exons. The record is from RefSeq and is a predicted model, not a curated record. Lineage: Eukaryota; Metazoa; Arthropoda; Insecta; Blattodea; Kalotermitidae.